RNAcentral lists this ribosomal RNA (1377 nucleotides) under uncultured bacterium. Its description in RNAcentral is "bacterial SSU rRNA". It matches the Rfam family "Bacterial small subunit ribosomal RNA", at positions 18 to 1390 of the family's 1533-position model. The record is from RNAcentral.
CCUGGCUCAGGAUGAACGCUAGCUACAGGCUUAACACAUGCAAGUCGAGGGGCAGCAUGGUCUUAGCUUGCUAAGGCCGAUGGCGACCGGCGCACGGGUGAGUAACACGUAUCCAACCUGCCGUCUACUCUUGGACAGCCUUCUGAAAGGAAGAUUAAUACAAGAUGGCAUCAUGAGUCCGCAUGUUCACAUGAUUAAAGGUAUUCCGGUAGACGAUGGGGAUGCGUUCCAUUAGAUAGUAGGCGGGGUAACGGCCCACCUAGUCUUCGAUGGAUAGGGGUUCUGAGAGGAAGGUCCCCCACAUUGGAACUGAGACACGGUCCAAACUCCUACGGGAGGCAGCAGUGAGGAAUAUUGGUCAAUGGGCGAGAGCCUGAACCAGCCAAGUAGCGUGAAGGAUGACUGCCCUAUGGGUUGUAAACUUCUUUUAUAAAGGAAUAAAGUCGGGUAUGGAUACCCGUUUGCAUGUACUUUAUGAAUAAGGAUCGGCUAACUCCGUGCCAGCAGCCGCGGUAAUACGGAGGAUCCGAGCGUUAUCCGGAUUUAUUGGGUUUAAAGGGAGCGUAGAUGGAUGUUUAAGUCAGUUGUGAAACUUUGCGGCUCAACCGUAAAAUUGCAGUUGAUACUGGAUAUCUUGAGUGCAGUUGAGGCAGGCGGAAUUCGUGGUGUAGCGGUGAAAUGCUUAGAUAUCACGAAGAACUCCGAUUGCGAAGGCAGCCUGCUAAGCUGCAACUGACAUUGAGGCUCGAAAGUGUGGGUAUCAAACAGGAUUAGAUACCCUGGUAGUCCACACGGUAAACGAUGAAUACUCGCUGUUUGCGAUAUACAGCAAGCGGCCAAGCGAAAGCGUUAAGUAUUCCACCUGGGGAGUACGCCGGCAACGGUGAAACUCAAAGGAAUUGACGGGGGCCCGCACAAGCGGAGGAACAUGUGGUUUAAUUCGAUGAUACGCGAGGAACCUUACCCGGGCUUAAAUUGCAGAUGAAUUACGGUGAAAGCCGUAAGCCGCAAGGCAUCUGUGAAGGUGCUGCAUGGUUGUCGUCAGCUCGUGCCGUGAGGUGUCGGCUUAAGUGCCAUAACGAGCGCAACCCUUGUUGUCAGUUACUAACAGGUUCCGCUGAGGACUCUGACAAGACUGCCAUCGUAAGAUGUGAGGAAGGUGGGGAUGACGUCAAAUCAGCACGGCCCUUACGUCCGGGGCUACACACGUGUUACAAUGGGGGGUACAGAGGGCCGCUACCACGCGAGUGGAUGCCAAUCCCCAAAACCUCUCUCAGUUCGGACUGGAGUCUGCAACCCGACUCCACGAAGCUGGAUUCGCUAGUAAUCGCGCAUCAGCCACGGCGCGGUGAAUACGUUCCCGGGCCUUGUACACAC